UACGGGGGGUGCGAGCGUUGUCCGGAAUCACUGGGCGUAAAGGGCGCGUAGGUGGCCUGAUAAGGGUGUGGUGAAAGUCCGGGGCUCAACCCCGGAUCUGCCGUGCCGACUGUUAGGCUAGAGUACUGUAGGGGCAGGCGGAAUUCCGGGUGUAGCGGUGGAAUGCGUAGAGAUCCGGAAGAACACCGGUGGCGAAGGCGGCCUGCUGGGCAGUAGCUGACACUGAGGCGCGACAGCGUGGGGAGCAAACAGG
This 253-nucleotide ribosomal RNA is filed under the name uncultured bacterium. Its description in RNAcentral is "partial 16S ribosomal RNA". It matches the Rfam family "Bacterial small subunit ribosomal RNA", at positions 524 to 776 of the family's 1533-position model. The record is from RNAcentral.